Molecule: ribosomal RNA, 449 nt
Filed under: uncultured bacterium
Lineage: Bacteria
Description: partial 16S ribosomal RNA
Rfam family: Bacterial small subunit ribosomal RNA
Source: RNAcentral
AACGAACGCUGGCGGCAGGCUUAACACAUGCAAGUCGAACGCAUCCUUCGGGGUGAGUGGCAGACGGGUGAGUAACGCGUGGGAACGUGCCCUUCAGUUCGGGAUAACCCAGGGAAACUUGAGCUAAUACCGGAUACGUGCGAGAGCAGAAAGAUUUAUCGCUGAAGGAUCGGCCCGCGUCUGAUUAGCUAGUUGGUGGGGUAAUGGCCCACCAAGGCGACGAUCAGUAGCUGGUCUGAGAGGAUGAUCAGCCACAUUGGGACUGAGACACGGCCCAAACUCCUACGGGAGGCAGCAUUGGGGAAUAUUGGACAAUGGGCGCAAGCUUGAUCCAGCCAUGCCGCGUGAGUGAUGAAGGCCUUAGGGUUGUAAAGCUCUUUCGUCCGGGACGAUAAUGACGGUACCGGAUGAAGAAGCCCCGGCUAACUUCGUGCCAGCCGCCGCGGUAA